Molecule: small nuclear RNA, 108 nt
Filed under: Suricata suricatta (meerkat)
Lineage: Eukaryota; Metazoa; Chordata; Mammalia; Carnivora; Herpestidae
Source: RNAcentral
GUGCUCACUUCAGCAGCACAUAUACUAAAAAAAAUUGGAACGAUACAGAGAUUAGCAUGGCCCCUGCGCAAGGAUGACACGCAAAUUCGUGAAGUGUUCCAUAUAAAA